GAACGGGUGAGUAACACGUGGGUGAUCUGCCCUGCACUUUGGGAUAAGCCUGGGAAACUGGGUCUAAUACCGAAUAUGACCAUGCGCCUCCUGGUGUGUGGUGGAAAGCUUUUGCGGUGUGGGAUGGGCCCGCGGCCUAUCAGCUUGUUGGUGGGGUAAUGGCCUACCAAGGCGACGACGGGUAGCCGGCCUGAGAGGGUGACCGGCCACACUGGGACUGAGAUACGGCCCAGACUCCUACGGGAGGCAGCAGUGGGGAAUAUUGCACAAUGGGCGCAAGCCUGAUGCAGCGACGCCGCGUGAGGGAUGACGGCCUUCGGGUUGUAAACCUCUUUCAGCACAGACGAAGCGCAAGUGACGGUAUGUGCAGAAGAAGGACCGGCCAACUACGUGCCAGCAGCCGCGGUAAUACGUAGGGUCCGAGCGUUGUCCGGAAUUACUGGGCGUAAAGAGCUCGUAGGUGGUUUGUCGCGUUGUUCGUGAAAACUCACAGCUUAACUGUGGGCGUGCGGGCGAUACGGGCAGACUUGAGUACUGCAGGGGAGACUGGAAUUCCUGGUGUAGCGGUGGAAUGCGCAGAUAUCAGGAGGAACACCGGUGGCGAAGGCGGGUCUCUGGGCAGUAACUGACGCUGAGGAGCGAAAGCGUGGGGAGCGAACAGGAUUAGAUACCCUGGUAGUCCACGCCGUAAACGGUGGGUACUAGGUGUGGGUUUCCUUCCUUGGGAUCCGUGCCGUAGCUAACGCAUUAAGUACCCCGCCUGGNGAGUACGGCCGCAAGGCUAAAACUCAAAGAAAUUGACGGGGGCCCGCACAAGCGGCGGAGCAUGUGGAUUAAUUCGAUGNCACGCGAAGAACCUUACCUGGGUUU
Molecule: ribosomal RNA, 870 nt
Filed under: uncultured bacterium
Lineage: Bacteria
Description: bacterial SSU rRNA
Rfam family: Bacterial small subunit ribosomal RNA
Source: RNAcentral